UACGGAGGGUGCGAGCGUUGUCCGGAAUCACUGGGCGUAAAGGGCGCGUAGGUGGCCUGUGGAAGUCUGCGGUGAAAGCCCGGCGCUCAACGCCGGGUCGGCCGUGGAUACUCUCGGGCUUGAGCUUACUAGAGGCAGAUGGAAUUCCACGUGUAGCAGUGAAAUGCGUAGAGAUGUGGAGGAAUACCGAUGGCGAAGGCAGCCUCCUGGGCCAACACUGACGCUCAUGCACGAAAGCGUGGGGAGCAAACAGG
This 254-nucleotide ribosomal RNA is filed under the name uncultured bacterium. RNAcentral describes it as "partial 16S ribosomal RNA". It matches the Rfam family "Bacterial small subunit ribosomal RNA", at positions 524 to 776 of the family's 1533-position model. The record is from RNAcentral.